RNAcentral lists this transfer RNA (68 nucleotides) under Eremias brenchleyi. RNAcentral describes it as "tRNA-Pro". Lineage: Eukaryota; Metazoa; Chordata; Lepidosauria; Squamata; Lacertidae. The record is from RNAcentral.
CAAAAGAUAGUUAAACAAAAUACUGGCUUUGGGGGUCAGUGAUAAGGAGGCACAGUCCUUUCUUUUGA